UCCACCUCUACCCAGGCCCAUCUCUCUCUCGCUCUCCCCAGGGACGACCUGCUCUGGAAUGGCGCUCAUGGGGAAGAAUCUCGCUGCAGGCGGGCAAUAUGUCACAUGUUUCCCAGAGAUGGAGACUGGGAGCCAAACAGAGGUGUGACAGAUUCCCAGAUUGAAGGUUUAAAGGGUGCAGAUUAACAGGCUGAGGACAGAGAGCCUCCCUCGGAGCUGAAGGGGAAUUAAGAUGGCAUUAACGUCUCUUCUGCAUCGGCACAUUAGCCUUUCAUUACCGUGUGGUUGCACAAUCCAUACCAGUUUGGCUGCAUGUGCCAAGAGAGACGUGAAGACGUGGAUUGACACACCAUGUCUUCCUCCAGAGCCUCCCUCCUCAGCAUCACCAGAUUAACGGAUUAGCAGGCAAGGCGAGCACUAAAGCUGGCUAAUUCUCACCCAAGCACAUAGAGCUAAAGCUACUCAGAGCCCCACAGAGCCUCUCUCUGCUCAGAGCAGCUGUGUGGUGGAAGGAGGGACGGAGCUUCUUCCCUCUGAAGAGCCAUGAGGAACAAAACAGAAGAUUCACAUUGUCAUUCAUUGGCUUGUUUUGUGCACUAAUAAUUAUUUUUAGUACGCCAUAGUAUACUGUUCAGACAAAACAACUUUUGUGAUUUAAGAUAAAAGUAAUAC
This is a long non-coding RNA of Poeciliopsis prolifica (blackstripe livebearer), 672 nucleotides long. RefSeq lists it as uncharacterized. NCBI's taxonomy places the organism in Eukaryota, Metazoa, Chordata, Actinopteri, Cyprinodontiformes, Poeciliidae. The record is from RefSeq and is a predicted model, not a curated record. The transcript has 3 exons.